RNAcentral lists this transfer RNA (37 nucleotides) under Causonis japonica var. japonica. RNAcentral describes it as "partial tRNA-His". RNAcentral also lists the same sequence under 2 other names. The record is from RNAcentral. Lineage: Eukaryota; Viridiplantae; Streptophyta; Magnoliopsida; Vitales; Vitaceae.
GGGGCGGAUGUAGCCAAGUGGAUCAAGGCAGUGGAUU